UCCUCUCACAGUUCUGGAGGCCAGAGU
RNAcentral lists this non-coding RNA (27 nucleotides) under Homo sapiens (human). The record is from RNAcentral. Lineage: Eukaryota; Metazoa; Chordata; Mammalia; Primates; Hominidae.